This 1146-nucleotide small RNA is filed under the name Human betaherpesvirus 5. Its description in RNAcentral is "RNA5.0". The record is from RNAcentral. Lineage: Duplodnaviria; Heunggongvirae; Peploviricota; Herviviricetes; Herpesvirales; Orthoherpesviridae.
AACACCCACAAACAACGUCACGACGCAACGUGGUUAAACAGUACGUUUAUUAAAGUAACUGGGUGAACGACACCGGAGCGGACUGCAAAUCGCAACGCUACUUUCUCGAGUGCAGAUACUCUUCGAGACGGCUAAACAACGUGUCCAACUCGCUGAGACCUUUCCGCGUGCCGUUAUCCGAUUUCCUUUCCGCCUCCUGAGACAGCCGACUAAUCACGGACUUAUCUCCGCAACCUAACAGAGGCUGGGAGCCCGACAAAAGUAAAACAGCGUGCUAUGAACACGUUGUUACCUCUGCGCGGACAGCGCCGCCACAGAGACACUUACGCAUUGCCGCAUGUCUUUGUAGAUGGAUUCUAGCGUCGAGCGCAUACUAUGCAAUUCCGUCUUAAGUCCGGGAUAGACGUGGUCGCCUGCGGGGAACACGAUCUCCAGAUACCGCCUCAACAACCAGUCCAUAACGCUGCAUCCCCAACAGCCUUUGACCACCGUACCGUCGAGCCACACGGAGUAGUCGUCCUCGCGUUGCUACAAGAGGAAAACUACGUCACCCGACACGCGGAAAAGAAAGACCGUCGCAAUAAACCGUACCUACGUGACCUACCAACGUAGGUUUUACUCAAUGAAAGGUGACGCGGAGAUCUUGCAAUCUGGUUGCGUAAUCCUCUGGACGACACUGCGGCUUUGUAUUCUUUAUCGUCGUCGUCGUCGCCGGCUUCGCCUCCUCGGAAGCGCCUAGAAAAAAGACGAUCAGGACCAGAGAGGAAGAGACCAUCACCGACAGCAUCGCCGCAGCAUGCCGCCCCAGUCCGCCACCCAACUGCGCGUCCCAGAUACCACUCGUAGACUGUCAGCCUCGCGAGGAGACACCGCGGACCGGGGAAACGGAUAAGUUUACGAACAGAAAUCUCAAGAGAAAUACGCUGACCCGGCAAGUACCGUCACGGAGACACGGUGGUUUUUAUUGAAUUUCCAGUGUAUCGAGCCACCGUGAUGCAGGUACGGUGGUUUUAUGUGAAGUGCCGCUACCUAUAGGCGAUGUGUUCCCUGACGGUGUGUGUUUUUUUGGGGAUAGACAACGUGGUUCUUGUACGUGGUUUUUACCCUGCUCAAUAAAGUCACGUUUUCCUUACACGGUGUUGUGUC